AUGCAUGUMUAAGUACAAGCCGCCUGUGCGGCGAGACUGCGGACGGCUCAUUAAAUCGGUUAUGACUCCACUGGGGCCAGACUCUCCACGUGGAUAACGUGCGGUAACUCCGGUGCUAAUACAUGCAACAAGGCUCCGACCGCGGCUUCGGCCGCGGGAAGGGCGCACUUAUUAGGCGAAAACCGACCGGCCUCGGCCGUUGGUGGACGACACCCGAGUAAUUGCCGCCGAUCGCACGGCCUCGAGCCGGCGACGCCGCCACCGAGUUUCUGAUCUAUCAUGCUGUCGACGGUUGGUGCUAUGCCAACCGUGGCGUUAACGGAUAACAGAGAAUCUGGGUUCGAUUCUGGAGAGGCCGCAUGAGAAACGGCGACCACU
This 378-nucleotide ribosomal RNA is filed under the name Cheilostomatida sp. USNM IZ 1448405. RNAcentral describes it as "SSU rRNA". The record is from RNAcentral. Lineage: Eukaryota; Metazoa; Bryozoa; Gymnolaemata; Cheilostomatida.